UCAAACUUGGUCAUUUAGAGGAAGUAAAAGUCGUAACAAGGUCUCCGUUGGUGAACCAGCGGAGGGAUCAUUACAGAGUUGAAAAACUCCCAAACCCUUGUGAACCUACCACGUUGCUUCGGCGGGCAGCCCGCGAGGGCCUUGCCUGUGAAGGUGCCCGCCGAAGGUACCAAACUAUUGCAUUAUUGAAUCUCUGAGUAUACCAAAAGAAUAAGUUAAAACUUUCAACAACGGAUCUCUUGGUUCUGGCAUCGAUGAAGAACGCAGC
RNAcentral lists this unclassified non-coding RNA (268 nucleotides) under uncultured fungus. RNAcentral's name for it is "partial contains small subunit ribosomal RNA, internal transcribed spacer 1, and 5.8S ribosomal RNA". The stretch from base 1 to 73 matches the Rfam family "Eukaryotic small subunit ribosomal RNA", at positions 1759 to 1831 of the family's 1831-position model. The record is from RNAcentral. Lineage: Eukaryota; Fungi.